GUAUGCUUGCGCCAUGAACCGCUUCCUGUCCGCCCUCCGACGUCGCUCGCCGCACCUCACGGAUGCCGCCGGCUCGUCACGGACGCACGCGUAACCCUCUCCUCGUUACGCCAAGCAGUUCGAACCACCAAGCCACGGCAUUCCGUGGCUUUUUU
This is a non-coding RNA of 155 nucleotides. It matches the Rfam family "Burkholderia sRNA 7". Rfam says of the family: Did not show any change in expression in iron-depletion and hydrogen peroxide (oxidative stress) treatment. Constitutively expressed.